Molecule: ribosomal RNA, 183 nt
Filed under: Triticum aestivum (bread wheat)
Lineage: Eukaryota; Viridiplantae; Streptophyta; Magnoliopsida; Poales; Poaceae
Description: partial small subunit ribosomal RNA
Source: RNAcentral
AUGCCAAUGCUUAUCGGGAUUGUAGUAGUAUUCACCAUUCACGUGUUUGGAGUCUACUGGUGGUACAGGAAUGAUGACCUUGUUAGACCUUUGGUGAUGCUUCCUCCAAAAGAAAUACCACCAUUCUGGCAUGCUAUAUUUUUCAUUGUGGUGAAUGGUAUUCUCUUUUCCCACACAGCAUGA